AGCCGGAGAAGCUGCUCUCACGCACUGGUGGAAGGAGAGGCCGCGCUCCCGGCUCAGCACGGUGUCUCGGGUGCUGCAGCCAACUGCCGAGCAACUUCGGGUCAUCUUCUUGCUACGUGGGGCUCCACUUUGGGUGUUCCCGCGGCAGCAUUAAUCGUGAUAAAUUUAGCUCCGCCCGUAGAUUCGGCGGCUACGACCUUUAUUUGUCGGAGAAGGCGGGCUCGUAACGCGCAAGACUCCAACCCUUCCUCUUCGUGGGUGCUGCGCUUGACGCCGUGACCAAUCACCGGCCACGUCGCGUCGCCGCAGCCAAUCAGAAGAGCCUAGGGCAUUAAGACGAGCACUUGACGGCUCCUCCCUCUCUGUUCCAGGGUGGUUGGUGGAUUUAGUUGUUUACGGGCUCAUUUUGCUAUUGCUUCGACCGCUCCGGUUACAUCCGUUGCCAUCGCGGUUCUUGUGAGGCAGGGCCUGAGAAUGCGAAGCGGAGAGGCAGAAAUAACGCUGAGAUCCCUGAUGUGGAGCUGUUGGAAUGGUUGGUCUUACAUACGUGACCCCGCAGGAGCUUGAAUGAGAGUGUUAGUAUGAGGAUACGUCGACUUAAUUCAACGGACCCUUUUCUACAAGACCGUUUGUCACUAUGGGGGAAUUAAGGAAACAAGGAAUUACAUUCUUGGAGAUGUUGGAAAAAGAUUCCCGGGACUUCAAAAGUAAUCACUCCAAAUAUACAGGGGAGCGGGAGGAGGGCAAAGCAGAGAGACUCUCACUUGGCAAGCCUAGGUUUCUUGAUGACUGUUGGCUGAGACUUUAGUGCUUUACCAUGAGAACCUCUCCUGAGGCUGCCUGAGAAUUCCCACAACAUGACAACUGUCUUUCCUCAAGGAAUGAGCCAAGAAAGAAAUGCCAAGUCAACAUGAAUGAAACUGAAGGGUGUUUUUGUCAGAUUUAUCUGAUAAGGAAUUUGAACAUUUAUAUAGUAAGAUAUAGGUAGUCCUUACUUUGUACCAUGCCAUUAUACAUGAAGAUUAGUUUUCACACUUUAAAUAACACCAGUCCUCCUAUAACACAGUUGAAAUUUAGGUUAGAAUAGUAAGCUUUGUUGGCUAGCUCUUUAUUCUGCAACUGAUUAUGCAUUCUGAAAGAUGUGCAUCAUGGUCAGUAACCAGUUACAUCACAUGUUUCAAAGUCUCUUGGUGAUUGAUUACUAAACAUCUGUUCACAGUGCAAAGCAUGUAGUUGUGUUGCUUGCUUCUCAGUGGUAAACCUCUGUGACAUUUUACGAAACUGGAUAAUCAGAAGAGGGAAAUGGCAGGGCAGCAAAGAAACAAUGGAACUGGAAGUGAAAUUGGAUUUGAAAAUGGCGACAGUAUAGCAGAGACGAGACCCAGGCCUACAUAAAGCUACAGUAUAAAUCACAUUUUAAAAGUUUGAUGAAUAUAAAAAGCAAAGUAAAGUUGCUUCAACUUCUUUUAGUUUAAAUUACACUAGGAACAGAAAGCCACUUAUGGUCGAAAUGGAGUGCUUGCUUCUACUUUGGAUGGAGGACUGUAGUAACAAAUCCUAAUCAGUUUGGCUAGCAUUCAGGUCAGAGUGUUUAGGUUAGUUGCUGCAUUGAAGGAAAAUGGUAAUUACAAGGAGAAUAAAAGAACAUUUUUUGCCAGUAAAGUCUGGCUUCAUCAUAGAGAAGUCAAGAGUGCCUGUGUACCUUGGUUAAGCAUCAUUCGGAAGUCGGCGUAAAUGGAUUAAUGUUCCACUGUCUGGUGAAGCUGCACCUUCAGAUAAGGAUGCUACUGGGAAAUCUGCACCUAUAUUCCAAGAAUCCCAGGCAGUGCUUGGUCUGCACAGUAGCAUGAGAGUACUGUGCAGAAGCUUCACAGGAUUUGGCUGGAAUGUAAACGGAAUUCUAGAAGAUACAGACAACUGUGGGAAUGUUGACACUGCUGCCAUUCAGAAAGUAGUUCUGGAUAAACAGAAGGAUGAAAGCAGUUGUGUGUUGUACAGGAUGAAUACAUUUCAGAGGAAAUGAUUCAGGUGAAAAACCACAUUAAAGGAACUCUCAGAUGUUGCAUGACAUUGCACAACGAAUAAAACUAGAAGCAGAUCCAAACUCAGAAAGGAGGAUGACAUUUUGCCACGGCAUAGAAAAGAUGCUUGCUCCCUGUAUUGUAAGUUAUAUGAGAAAACAAGCACUGUUCAAACUACUCUUGAGACUUGUUUAUAAAGAAAUAAAACACUAUAACUUUCAAUAUUUC
Suricata suricatta (meerkat) is the source of this 2249-nucleotide long non-coding RNA. RefSeq lists it as uncharacterized. The transcript has 6 exons. Lineage: Eukaryota; Metazoa; Chordata; Mammalia; Carnivora; Herpestidae. The record is from RefSeq and is a predicted model, not a curated record.